RNAcentral lists this ribosomal RNA (109 nucleotides) under Pteropus alecto (black flying fox). The record is from RNAcentral. Lineage: Eukaryota; Metazoa; Chordata; Mammalia; Chiroptera; Pteropodidae.
GUCUACGGCUAUGCUACUCUGAACAAGCCCAAUCCCGUCUGAUCUUGGAAGCCAAGCCUGGUUAGUACUUGGAUGGGAGACCACCUAGGAAGAUCAGGUGCUGUAGGCA